GAGGAGUGGCAGAGCGGUUGAAUGCACUGGUCUUGAAAACCAGCGUGGGUGUGAGCUCACCGGGGGUUCGAAUCCCUCCUCCUCC
RNAcentral lists this transfer RNA (85 nucleotides) under marine eukaryotic metagenome. It matches the Rfam family "tRNA". Rfam says of the family: Transfer RNA (tRNA) molecules are approximately 80 nucleotides in length. Their secondary structure includes four short double-helical elements and three loops (D, anti-codon, and T loops). The record is from RNAcentral.